CCUACGGGUGGCAGCAGUGGGGAAUAUUGCACAAUGGGGGAAACCCUGAUGCAGCGACGCCGCGUGAGUGAAGAAGUAUUUCGGUAUGUAAAGCUCUAUCAGCAGCGAAGAAGAUGACUGUAUCUGACUACUAAGCGCUGGCUAACUACGUGCCAGCAGCCGCGGUAAUACGUAGGGGCCAAGCGUUAUCCGGAUUUACUGGGUGUAAAGGGAGCGUAGACGGCGAGACAAGUCAGAAGUGAAAGCCCAGGGCUCAACCCUGGGACUGCUUUUGAAACUGCCGGGCUGGAGGGCAGGAGAGGGGAGCGGAAUUCCUAGUGUAGCGGUGAAAGGCGUAGAUAUUAGGAGGAACACCGGAGGCGAAGGCGGCUUACUGGACUGUAACUGACGUUGAGGCUCGAAAGCGUGGGGAGCAAACAGGAUUAGAUACCCUUGUAGUC
Molecule: ribosomal RNA, 440 nt
Filed under: uncultured bacterium
Lineage: Bacteria
Description: partial 16S ribosomal RNA
Rfam family: Bacterial small subunit ribosomal RNA
Source: RNAcentral